This 2300-nucleotide long non-coding RNA is filed under the name Homo sapiens (human). Its description in RNAcentral is "PREDICTED lncRNA (TCONS_00114419)". The record is from RNAcentral. Lineage: Eukaryota; Metazoa; Chordata; Mammalia; Primates; Hominidae.
UCCCGCGCCGCUCCCGAGCCCCUGCAGCCUCGGCGUCCCCGGGGCCGUGAGGCGCGCGCCGUGACGCCUGGGGUCUGUAGGCCUGUGAAGAACUGGACUAGGUGAGAAGAAGAAGCUUUUGACCCAUGUCACUCCCUGGCCCAGAACUAUAUCCUACCCACAGGUGGGUUGAGUUCAGGACUGCUGCUUCCAGCCCCCAGCAGCAAGGUUCAAGUGAGAGCUGACUCACCUAGGGCCCCUUGUUAGAGCCUCAGAGCCAGGUGAAAAGCCACACACAGGCUGGGCGCGAUGGCUCACGCCUGUAAUCCCAGCACUUUGGGAGGCCGAGGCAGGUGGAUCACCUGAGGUCAGGAGUUCAAGACCAUCCUGGCCAACAUGGCAAAAUCCCGUCUCUACUAAAAAUACAAAAAUUAGUCCUGCCUGGUGGCACAUGCCUGUAGUCCCAGCUACUCGGGAGGCUGAGGCAGGAGAAUCGCUUGAACCCGGGAGGCGGAGGUUGCAGUGAGCCGAGAUCAUGCCACUGCACUCCAGCCUGGGUGACAGAGCGGGACUCUGUCUCCAAAAAAAGAAAAGCCACACAGGUGUGUGUGUAGGGGCAAGGGAGUUUCCUACUGUCUUCCUAGCAGAAAAUGGGGAGAAACUGUUAAAGCCAGAAUGAGGGAGGGCUGUGUGUGGCCUGGGACUGGCAACAGAAGUGUCAAGCUGCCAGGUUUCAGGCCAGUACAGAGCACGGUUCUACCUGGGUUAUGUGUUGCCGGCACUAAUGGUUAGAGACAUCUGUCACUGGUGAGGGCAGAAAUGUAUGCAGGAGUGGGUGUGGGAAGCUGGCCUCACUGGUGGGUGGGGUUGGAGACUUUGCCAGGCCUGGUCAGGAAAAGCUGCUACAAAACAGCAAAACUGCUCCUAGUGCAGCGAUCCCCAACCUUUUUGGCAACAGGGAGUAUUUUCCUGGAAGACCAUUUUUCCAUGGAGAGGGAGGGCGGGGCUGGUUUCGGGAUGGAAGUGUUCCAUCUCCCAUCAUCAGGCAUUAGUCAAACUCUCCUAAGGAGCACACAAAACCUACACUCCUGGUGUGCACAGUUCACAGGAGGGCUUCUGCUUCUGUGAGAACCAAAUGUCCCACUGAUGUGACAGGAUCAGAGCGCCAUCGCUGCUCACUUCCUGCAUGCGGCCCUGUUCCUGACAGGCCACGGACCAGUACCUGGGGUUUGGGGUCCCCCGCCCUAGGGGAUGAAAGAAGGGAAACCUGGGUCUAAUGGGUUACUGUGAUUCUCCCUGCGAUGCAGGGAAGAGACAGGACAGAGGUGGGAAGGAACAUGGUCACCAGGAGUCGGGACAGCACUCUUCCAGGUCCUUCCCCUGGGGCUGAGUAAGCACCCUGCGCGUAGCUCUUCCUGGCCGCCUGUGGGCUCUGGGAUCUAAACGGACUAUGCAGCCAUUCUCACUUUCAUUCACAGCUCGGACAGGGACAGUGUGUGUUGAGGCGGAAAGACAAAACAUGUAUGUGAGAGACUUUGUAUGAGCCGGUUCCUGAUGAAGUCCUAUCUUUCAGCCUCGUAUUUACUGCCCAGGCAGAUGGGGCUCUUUUCUUCACCCUCCCGCUUUUUUUUUUUGAGACAGAAAACUUAAUAGAAAUUUUGUUUGCAGUUCUUACAUUCUCAGUGUGAGCCAAUCUGUGACCCACCGCCCCACCCAGAAGUGGCCCAGUCCUGGUGCAGGGUAGGAAGGGAAGGGUGGAGUGAGAAGAGCCCCAUUUUUCCUCAGUGCCAGGGGGCUGGAGACACCACCCCCUUCUCCUGCCUCUGGGCUCCAGGAAGGAGUGCAGAUGGACUCUCAGGCCUAUGGUUCCUCCUCCACACCACUGUCCCCCAGGUUGGAGGGGAGUGAGAGAUACAGGGAGAGAAGGGGACAGAGGCAAGAAAAGGUGUUGAUCAAGAAAGGCAAGAACCAGGGGUGAGGGCUGACAGAGAAUCAAAGAUAAAACACUAGUAGGCCGGGCGCGGUGGCUCAUGCCUGUAAUCCCAGCACUUUCGGAAGCCAAGGCGGGCAGAUCACCUGAGGUCGGGAAUUCGAGACCAGCCUGACCAACAUGGAGAAACCCUGUCUCUACUACAAAUAUAAAAUUAGCCGGGUGUGGUGGCACAUGCCUGUAAUCCCAGCUGCUCAGGAGGCUGAGGCAGGAGAAUCGCUUGAACCUGGGAGGCAGAGAUUGCAGUGAGCCAAGAUCAUGCCACUGCACUCCAGCCUGGGCAACAAGAGCGAAACUCUGUUGGAAAAAAACAAACAGUAAAAAAAAAAAA